CUUGCACUUCAGCAUCCUUCUGUUUGUCUUGAUUUGGAUGCAGGUCAGUAGGAAGACAGGAGUUCCUCACACACUGCUUAUGCACAAAGACCAGUUAUCUUUACUGUGUGCAGUUUUUUGGGGUUUUUUGUCCUUUUAUGAUGUUUCUGGCUUCUCUUCACACUCUUUAGAAAUGGGCUGGUCUGCCUGGAGAGAGACUUUCUAACAGCAUAACUCCUUGGACAAGCAGGACUGAAGCAUCUUCACUUUGCAUGGGGAGAACUGUCUGUCUGUAAAAGGAGAGAUUAAGCAGGAGAGUAAGCAGAGAGGGACCACAAACUCCCCUUAGCAGUAACUACCCAGAAGGUAGUUGGAGAGUCUCCAAAGCUGACCUCCAUGUGUCUUGCAUCGCCUCGUCUCCUUUCAUGCCACUUUCAUGUGACAGACCCCACGAAGAGUGCCUGGAGGCUGCACUGUACCACAUUCAUUAUUUUGUCAGAGCUGCCGUGUCUGCCAAAUGGUGGCCAGACACUCAGACAGACUUUCCCAAUUAGCAGAGUCCUGCAGCUGAUGUCUGGGGCUUGCAUGUGUUUUCCCUGCCUGUUACCACAGCCGAGAUGCUGGCCGGCUCCACAUGGCCUGGGGUAGGUAUCCACCUCGGCCGCUGGGCUGGAGAGAAGCAGCUGGGCUUUCUUGAAAGCUGUGGUUUCCCUCGGCUCCUCUUGUUUGGCUGUGAAAGGCUCCUGUUUGGGUGUUUCAUCCUUUGAUCCCUCUGUGGCCUGGGUGGAGUUGGAGCCUCCAGUGUGACUUGUCUGGGUCAUGGCACAGGCCUUGGCAUCCUCUUCAACCUCUGGAGAGAGCUACUCUGCACGCUCACCAUGGUGGAACCUACAGGACGUCUGUGUGUGGGGCUGGCUGCUGGCACGACUCAGUCUCCAGCAGCACUUAGGAGCUACACCUAGACAUGAGGAUGCUGGAAAGCCGUGCCCAAAGAAAUGGUCCUUCUCUCAGGAGCUUGCAGACCAGAGGUGGUCCUGGGGAAAAAGCUGGUUACUGCGAGGUUUAUUGGCAACAGCAAUGGAGAUGAGCAGAGGCUGCUUCUGAAUCGAACCCAACCAGACUGCAGCUUUGUUUGGCACCGAACUUUCCUCCUGAGAUGAUCGCACAAGAAGUCUUUUAUCACUUGGGGGGCUCUGAGCCAGAGCUGCUUGUGGUGGAAGUCGCCGGGACUGUAACCCCGGGCUGUCGUGGGACGAGAGUCAAGCUGGGGCUGUCAGCAAGGCGAGUUGCAGCAGUCGGAGCCCCUGCCAGGACACGUCAGUACUUCUGAGCGUGCUUCCCCUGGUGCUGCUCUCGUUAAGGAAAAGGUAUGAAAUCCACAUCUAGACUGAAUUCGACCUUUAAAAAAAAUUAAGUGUUGUCUCAAAUAUAAAUCCUGUCCAGAAUCGUGGUCUAAUUCCUUAGGAAAUCACUAUAAUUCCAACCUACCCUGCUCCCCACUGCCUAAUAACAUCGUGUCGCAUCUCGGUUUUCUCACAGAGCUGAUUCACCUCCGGUGCCGUUUGCGCAGCGUUGGCUUCAGCACCAUCAGAUCUGCUUGAUGCCCAGUUUUGUGUCAAGGAAGGAGGGCCCUGCUCGAGCUAACAGACUGCUGCUCUCUCCAGACGUUGGCAAGCUCUUACUCACAGCUUCUUCCCUGCAUCGUUUCACAAUACCAGCCAACAAUACCUUGAGGAGGGGUCUGUGACACUGAGCCCAAGAAAUGCUGUCAGUAACAUUUCCCACAGGGUAAGGAAGAUUCCAGCUGUUUAUUUUCCCAACCAUGUUUUGCUGAAGAAACAAUUUUAAAGGGGAAAAAGAAAAAACCACGUUAUUGUGUAAGCGAGAUGGAAAACAGCUUUCUGCGGGUUCCCAGGUAUUUAUGUGCCAUUCUCUCUGCAACGUUAUUAGCAACAACACUGCCUGUGGCUGGCUGACUAUUGAGUGAGGAUGGUUUUGCAACAGCUGUGUGCACAGUACCUUCCUUCACAAGCAAUGCCUUUUCCCUGGCUGUCCCCAUGGCUCAGGUUUAUUUGUAUGCAGGGCAACUGCGAGGUUAUCGAGACUUUC
This 2088-nucleotide long non-coding RNA is filed under the name Calidris pugnax (ruff). Its description in RNAcentral is "lncRNA (ENSCPUG00000000554.1)". The record is from RNAcentral. Lineage: Eukaryota; Metazoa; Chordata; Aves; Charadriiformes; Scolopacidae.